ACGCUGGCGGCAGGCUUAACACAUGCAAGUCGAACGGUAACAUAAAGAAGCUUGCUUCUUUGAUGACGAGUGGCGGACGGGUGAGUAAUGCUUGGGAAUCUAGCUUAUGGAGGGGGAUAACUACGGGAAACUGUAGCUAAUACCGCGUAAUAUCGAAAGAUUAAAGUGUGGGACCUUCGGGCCACAUGCCAUAGGAUGAGCCCAAGUGGGAUUAGGUAGUUGGUGAGGUAAAGGCUCACCAAGCCGACGAUCUCUAGCUGGUCUGAGAGGAUGACCAGCCACACUGGGACUGAGACACGGCCCAGACUCCUACGGGAGGCAGCAGUGGGGAAUAUUGCGCAAUGGGGGCAACCCUGACGCAGCCAUGCCGCGUGAAUGAAGAAGGCCUUCGGGUUGUAAAGUUCUUUCGGUAGCGAGGAAGGCAUUUAGUUUAAUAGACUAGGUGAUUGACGUUAACUACAGAAGAAGCACCGGCUAAC
Molecule: ribosomal RNA, 479 nt
Filed under: Parahaemophilus parainfluenzae
Lineage: Bacteria; Pseudomonadati; Pseudomonadota; Gammaproteobacteria; Pasteurellales; Pasteurellaceae
Description: Haemophilus parainfluenzae bacterial SSU rRNA
Rfam family: Bacterial small subunit ribosomal RNA
Source: RNAcentral